RNAcentral lists this ribosomal RNA (495 nucleotides) under uncultured bacterium. RNAcentral's name for it is "partial 16S ribosomal RNA". It matches the Rfam family "Bacterial small subunit ribosomal RNA", at positions 28 to 507 of the family's 1533-position model. The record is from RNAcentral.
GACGAACGCUGGCGGCGUGCCUAAUACAUGCAAGUAGAACGCUGAAGGAGGAGCUUGCUUCUCUGGAUGAGUUGCGAACGGGUGAGUAACGCGUAGGUAACCUGCCUGGUAGCGGGGGAUAACUAUUGGAAACGAUAGCUAAUACCGCAUAAGAGUAGAUGUUGCACGACAUUUACUUAAAAGGUGCAAUUGCAUCACUACCAGAUGGACCUGCGUUGUAUUAGCUAGUUGGUGAGGUAACGGCUCACCAAGGCAACGAUACAUAGCCGACCUGAGAGGGUGAUCGGCCACACUGGGACUGAGACACGGCCCAGACUCCUACGGGAGGCAGCAGUAGGGAAUCUUCGGCAAUGGACGGAAGUCUGACCGAGCAACGCCGCGUGAGUGAAGAAGGUUGUCGGAUCGUAAAGCUCUGUUGUAAGAGAAGAACGAGUGUGAGAGUGGAAAGUUCACACUGUGACGGUAUCUGACCAGAAAGGGACGGCUAACUACGUG